RNAcentral lists this ribosomal RNA (90 nucleotides) under Listeria monocytogenes. RNAcentral also lists the same sequence under 2 other names. The record is from RNAcentral. Lineage: Bacteria; Bacillati; Bacillota; Bacilli; Caryophanales; Listeriaceae.
UCUGGUAGUUAUGGCGAGAAGGUCACACCCGUUCCCAUCCCGAACACGGUAGUUAAGCUUCUCUGCGCCAAUGGUAGUUGGGGGCUUCCC